RNAcentral lists this transfer RNA (71 nucleotides) under Striuntius lateristriga (spinner barb). RNAcentral's name for it is "tRNA-Tyr". It matches the Rfam family "tRNA". Rfam says of the family: Transfer RNA (tRNA) molecules are approximately 80 nucleotides in length. Their secondary structure includes four short double-helical elements and three loops (D, anti-codon, and T loops). Further hydrogen bonds mediate the characteristic L-shaped molecular structure. tRNAs have two regions of fundamental functional importance: the anti-codon, which is responsible for specific mRNA codon recognition, and the 3' end, to which the tRNAs corresponding amino acid is attached (by aminoacyl-tRNA synthetases). tRNAs cope with the degeneracy of the genetic code in two manners: having more than one tRNA (with a specific anti-codon) for a particular amino acid; and 'wobble' base-pairing, i.e. permitting non-standard base-pairing at the 3rd anti-codon position. The record is from RNAcentral. Lineage: Eukaryota; Metazoa; Chordata; Actinopteri; Cypriniformes; Cyprinidae.
GGUAGGGUAGCUGAGCGUUUAGGCGGUGGGUUGUAGCCCCAAGUACAAAGGUUUAAGUCCUUUUCCUAUCA